This 334-nucleotide non-coding RNA is filed under the name Trichomonas vaginalis G3. RNAcentral describes it as "Eukaryotic small subunit ribosomal RNA". It matches the Rfam family "Eukaryotic small subunit ribosomal RNA", at positions 1469 to 1831 of the family's 1831-position model. Lineage: Eukaryota; Parabasalia; Trichomonadida; Trichomonadidae. The record is from Rfam by way of RNAcentral.
GCCCUUUAGAUGCUCUGGGCUGCACGCGUGCUACAAUGUAGGGAUCAAUAGGACUGCGAGCCUGAGAGGGUGCGCUACUCUUAUAAUCCCUAACGUAGUUGGGAUUGACGUUUGUAAUCAGCGUCAUGAACCAGGAAUCCCUUGUAAAUGUGUGUCAACAACGCACGUUGAAUACGUCCCUGCCCUUUGUACACACCGCCCGUCGCUCCUACCGAUUGGAUGACUCGGUGAAAUCACCGGAUGCUUACGAGCAGAAAGUGAUUAAAUCACGUUAUCUAGAGGAAGGAGAAGUCGUAACAAGGUAACGGUAGGUGAACCUGCCGUUGGAUCAGUU